CUAUUUGAGUGUGAAAAACCACACAGUUUGCCAUUGUUAGCUGCUAACUAACCUGCGGUACAUACAUAAAUAACGUCUAUCAACAAAGUCCUGUCUCCAACGCGAAUUAAACACUAUAUGGGAUAGCUUCAUAUUUCAAAGUGGAUGGCCCAUGAUAAUGUCUCACCUGGGCCGCCACCACCUUUACCACCCAUUAUGUCUUGUCCAUUUGUCAACCAGCAACAUGAAAGAAGUUUGGAACAGAUCUCCCUUCAUGCUCACUCUACGUCGACUCCUGUCACACUCCUGACAGGAGGGAGACUUUUAAUAAAAGCGGAUUAUGUUUUCUCAUG
Molecule: long non-coding RNA, 332 nt
Organism: Oncorhynchus tshawytscha (Chinook salmon)
Lineage: Eukaryota; Metazoa; Chordata; Actinopteri; Salmoniformes; Salmonidae
Exons: 2
Source: RefSeq, a predicted model, not a curated record